Molecule: long non-coding RNA, 993 nt
Organism: Gorilla gorilla gorilla (western lowland gorilla)
Lineage: Eukaryota; Metazoa; Chordata; Mammalia; Primates; Hominidae
Exons: 4
Source: RefSeq, a predicted model, not a curated record
ACAGAAUCAGGGAAUUUGGACAUUGGCCACACCACAAUAGAGAACAUGGGCUGGAGGGGUAGGACAUGGGGGUAGGUGUGACAUGUCAGGCAGAGAGCAGUGGAGUCCCCCAUUCUGAAAUCAAAUUUACAAACAAUGUCUCCAAGGAAUGGAAAAAUGGAAAUCCAAACCCAAAGAAGUCACUUUGGUUGUUGACAGAGAAGACACAAGAUCACCAAACAGGAAAUAAAGAUAAUACAUCUUAUGAUAAAAACAAUAGUUUAGAGUGAUGCAUGAAGAGGCACACUAACCACUGAGGGAGGGUGUCGCAAUGGUCCGGGACAGUAAGGAGAUUCAGCAAAAGAUUCAGCACCUCCUUGUUAGCACCCUUAGCCUCAUAGAGCCAAAGGGGAAGAGGAACAAACUACAGAAACUCCCCCUGAGAUCACCCCAGCUGGACAUCAGCCCUCAAGUGAUGAAGACGUCCAUACUUCCAAGGUUCCCCGCAGCUGUGUUGAGCUCUCAGACCUGGGCAAGGGGCUCUCUGGCCAGCCUCUUUCAAUCUUGCUCUAAUAAAGGCAGGAGGCAGACAAAUGCCUAGGCAGAUAGGGAAGGGUCUCCGGUGAGACCCCCCCUUCAAGCUUAAAGCAGCCUGAAAGCUGAAAGACUGGAGUGCUGGUUCCAGAUGAAACCUGCAACCGAGAGGGAAAACUUCUGCCCUGUUUGCCCCACCCUUUCCCAAUUGAUUCUUUCUGAAUAAGGCCUUUCAACCAAUCAAAUGCUGCCUUUUCCAAUACUAUCUAUGGCUUGCCAGUGCAUGCCUGCCUGCGCACUGGGGGAAUGGGAUGGAGCCACCAGGAAUUCAUGCCUUAUGCAAGGGAGGAGUGGCCUCUUUAGCACGUGUGUGGUAGCCCUGAUAUUCAAUUAGGGAGGUGAAAACCUGUUGGCAGGACCUCCCCUCUUUUGCCAAGAGCUUUUUUUCGCUUAAUAAAUUCCAUCCUUCUCACCAUUCAA